AUCAACGACCAUACCACGCAUGCCACACCAGUUCUCGUCCGAUCACUGAAGUUAAGAUGCGUUGGGCGCGGAUAGUACUUGGAUGGGUGACCGCCUGGGAACACCGCGUGUUUGUUGGUA
This is a ribosomal RNA of Hylaeus anthracinus, 120 nucleotides long. The record is from RefSeq and is a predicted model, not a curated record. NCBI's taxonomy places the organism in Eukaryota, Metazoa, Arthropoda, Insecta, Hymenoptera, Colletidae.